CGGUAUUUGUUUUUUAAUGUGAAUGUAAAAUGCUUUUUACAUAGUGUUAAACAAAUUCCAUUUGUCGAUAAAGAAAAUGAACCGGUUAGUUCAUGGUUUUGUUAUUUUUGCAAUGUUGGCGAGUUGUUCUGGAAGCCAUUUUCGAGGUGGAACAAUAACUUGGAAAUCAACAGGACAUGGUUUCGAAGUGGAAUUCAGUUCAAAGCUAGGAUGGGUGGCUGGAAUGUACUGUUCGAUAGCGACGGUCGGCUCGGGUCGGAAUGGAUCGGAAGCUUCAUGGAAAUGUGUGAAAGGUUGU
Molecule: long non-coding RNA, 298 nt
Organism: Dreissena polymorpha
Lineage: Eukaryota; Metazoa; Mollusca; Bivalvia; Myida; Dreissenidae
Exons: 3
Source: RefSeq, a predicted model, not a curated record